UUCAUAAGUUUAAUCAAGAAAUUCUCGACUUCAAGGAGAUGAGACGUUCGGUGCAUAAGAAGGGAACGCUGGGAGAUUAAAUGAGAUGGAAAGAAAAUGGAACUAAUAAACAAGAAUUUAUUUUAUAAUUUUUUUUUUUCGCGCAAAUUCAAUUUGAGGUAUAAGUGCCCCGAUAAGUUAAAUAAUUAGAUGCAAUUUAUGAAGUGUCCCAAUAUCCUUUAUUUGGG
RNAcentral lists this long non-coding RNA (227 nucleotides) under Erythranthe guttata (spotted monkey flower). RNAcentral's name for it is "long non-coding RNA (EGUT_LNC002351)". Lineage: Eukaryota; Viridiplantae; Streptophyta; Magnoliopsida; Lamiales; Phrymaceae. The record is from RNAcentral.